CGGAUCUGUAGCCCGUGGAGAGGAGACCACACAGGAGCAGACUCUUCUUCUUCUGCAUGAGGCAACAUGGGCUUAUAUGAAACUUAUGCCCUAAUUGCAGGCAAUGAACAUGAACACAAUCAGUAGCAGAGGCUGUAACAAGCGGAAUUCAAACGGAAUGAAAAUAAAGCACUGAAUAUUUAAACACAUUCAAGCUAAAAAUCUCAAGCUAGUAAUCUGCUGCUUGUGUCUUCCCCUCAAGGUGUAACUAGAAAUGUGCUAGUGCAGGAUUGCUGAAGAGACAUGAAAGAUUGCUGUUACA
This is a long non-coding RNA of Cygnus olor (mute swan), 301 nucleotides long. RefSeq lists it as uncharacterized. The record is from RefSeq and is a predicted model, not a curated record. NCBI's taxonomy places the organism in Eukaryota, Metazoa, Chordata, Aves, Anseriformes, Anatidae. The transcript has 3 exons.